CCUACGGGAGGCAGCAGUGGGGAAUUUUGGACAAUGGGGGCAACCCUGAUCCAGCCAUUCCGCGUGAGUGAAGAAGGCCUUCGGGUUGUAAAGCUCUUUCGCAAGGGAAGAAAACUUAUGAUCGAAUAAAUCAUGAGGUUGACGGUACCUUGAUAAGAAGCGCCGGCUAACUACGUGCCAGCAGCCGCGGUAAUACGUAGGGUGCGAGCGUUAAUCGGAAUUACUGGGCGUAAAGCGUGCGCAGGCGGUUUUGUAAGUCGGAUGUGAAAUCCCCGGGCUCAACCUGGGAACUGCGUUCGAAACUGCAAGGCUAGAGUGUGUCAGAGGGGGGUAGAAUUCCACGUGUAGCAGUGAAAUGCGUAGAGAUGUGGAGGAAUACCAAUGGCGAAGGCAGCCCCCUGGGAUAACACUGACGCUCAUGCACGAAAGCGUGGGGAGCAAACAGGAUUAGAUACCCUGGUAGUCCACGCCCUAAACGAUGCCAACUAGUUGUUGGUAGAGUAAAAUCUAUGAGUAACGUAGCUAACGCGUGAAGUUGACCGCCUGGGGAGUACGGUCGCAAGAUUAAAACUCAAAGGAAUUGACGGCUGAGAGNGCGAGACGACGACGAGGGAGGAGG
Molecule: ribosomal RNA, 619 nt
Filed under: uncultured bacterium
Lineage: Bacteria
Description: bacterial SSU rRNA
Rfam family: Bacterial small subunit ribosomal RNA
Source: RNAcentral